RNAcentral lists this long non-coding RNA (7748 nucleotides) under Sorghum bicolor (sorghum). RNAcentral describes it as "long non-coding RNA (SBIC_LNC012134)". The record is from RNAcentral. Lineage: Eukaryota; Viridiplantae; Streptophyta; Magnoliopsida; Poales; Poaceae.
CUCUCUCCCUAUUUUCUAGAUUACAACUAGAACUAACUAGAACUAGAACUAGAGGAACUAGAACUAGAACUAGAUAAACUAGAACUAGAUCUAGAUGAACUAGAGGUAGAACUAGAAGAACUAGAGGGAUCCUCUCUACUUGGAUGAAGAAUUGAAACCCUAACUUUGAUUCUGUAGAAGAGGUAUGAUCUCCAGGGGCCAGGGGGUCUGGUUUUAUAGUCCCUUCAAGUGAAUCUGGGCCGUCGGAUCAAACCGACAUUGAUCGUGUGGUUUUCCUUGAAGUAUUAGGUCGGUGGAGCAUGAUCCCCGAACUUCACCCUGAUUGGUCCAGGGGGGAGGGCGGGCGCCCAGUGCCCGGCUCCGUUACGUCUCCCGUUCGCUCCCGUGGCUUCUGGAGUCUUCUAGAUGCUAGAAAAUUGCGCGGCACGUUAAUAUCUCUAUGUAAACCCGACGUGUGGGCCUUUCUUCCAUAUUUCCUGAUAACCCCCUGCAGAAAUAGACAAACACCCAAAACUCGUGGAAUUCUGUCAGAUAAAACCCUAAGUCUAGGUGUUGGUUGCAUUUGGAUCCUUUUCCAUGAUUAGUUGAUGGUUAAAUAUGAGCAUUAAGGACCGUCAACAAGCUCCCCCAAGCUUAACCUUUGCUCGUCCCUGAGCAAAGCUAAAAUCAUCAAGAAAAAUAGGGGUUACUUUUAUGCCUCUUACUACAGGGUUUUUAAGUUAUCACUAAGGUCUUAGGUGAUUGAAAAACAGAACGAUCAAGUCAAGCACUAUGUCUCAAGUUCCUCUGUCUUACCUUUGUUCUGGAGUUUUUUAUAAGUCUGCAAAAUAAAACUGAGGCAUUUGCCUUCUUCUCGAAAGAUAUAUAAGUAGAGCUUUAAAAGUUUAGCAUACUUACUUUGCAUUUUGCUAUGUCAACGCUCGGAGUAAGGGAGAGGAAUGUCAUACUCCUAGAUCAAGACCUUUGACCUUUUUGAAAAGUUUGUCAUCUCUUACUGGCAUAUUGCUUAUUAGAGGGACCAUGGGCUAUCAUUUUUUUUCUUUUUUUUUCUCUUUUUUUUAAUCUUCUUUUUUUUAAGUGGGCAGCAAGUACCCCUAAUUCUACUGUCGGACACAUGUCCAUUUUUUCCACUCAGGUGGGUAUCUUUGUACCCCUAAUUCUACUUCGGACACUUGUUCAUUUUUACCUCUCGUCUCACUCUCUCUUUUUUUUUUUGAAUCAAAUUUUUGCAUAGUCCCAUGCCUCUAACGCAAUAAUACUUCGGAAGAGUAAAUCUUUUAUAUUUUUAAAACAAAAAGAUCUUGAUCUUGGGAGCAUGAUAAUUCUCUCAACCAAAACUACAAGAAUUAACAAUGGCUUGAACAAAGCAAGUGCCCACAGUUUUAAUAUUCAUAUCUUAUAAGACUCUAGGUAUUAUGAUCUCAUAUUUAUUUAUUUAUUUUUAUGAAUUUUUAGAUUUUCAAAAGAUAAAAUCUCCAGAACUCUAGCAAAACUUGGAACAAGUUAAAUAGUAGCUCAGACCUUCUCAUAACAUGUUUGUCAAUUACCUAGACUUGAAUCAAACUUUCUUUUUAUUUUAUUUAAAACUUAGGAUUACACAAAACUAUUGUAUAUUACUCAAAAGAAAAACUUUGUUUGGUUUCAUGGUUAUGCAUUUUUAUUUAUUUAUUUAUUUAUUUCAGAAUACUAGUAAAUAAAACCAAGAAAGGAAAGUAAUACUUAUCUAGAUACACGUAGGGGUGCCUCCCCCAAGCUGGAUGUUGACAUAGUCGUUCACUCUUGUGGCCUGCAUGUUCGGUCUCACUCUUCUUAAGCCUCAAAAUCCUGCACAACCCAAAUAGACAACAAAACUUGUGGAACAUGUUAAGGGUUAAGUAAUUGUCUAGAGCUUAUGAGAGCUUAAUGUGAGAAUUCUAUGAACUCAAUCACAUCAAGUUCCUCUACCAGGUUGUUUUGUGGCUCGAGAUAGAUUUUCAAGCGUUGACCAUUUACCUUAAAAGUGUUACCUAUGUCGUCUUGGAUGGUAAUGGCUCCAUGAGUUGAAGUAUCAAUGACCUUGUAUGGUCCAUCCCACUUACUUCGUAGCUUACCAUGCCCAAAGAGCUUAACUCUUGAAUUGAAUAGUAGAACCUUAUCUCCAGACUUAAACUCCUUGUGCUUGAUUCUCUUAUCAUGCCAUCGUUUUGUUCUCUCUUUAUAGAUCCUUGAAUUGUGGUAGGCUUUCUCUCUCCAUUCUUCUAGCUCAGAUAGUUGCAUCAGACGAUUCUCACUAGCGAGGUGGAGAUCCAUGUUCCAUUUCUUGAGUGCCCAAUAAGCCUUAAACUCUACUUCCACAGGCAAAUGACAAGUUUUUCCAUAUACAAGUUGAUAAGGUGACAUGCCUAUGGGUGUUUUGAAUGCAGUUCUAUAUGCCCAAAGUGCAUCAGGAAGUUUGUCCUUCCACCCCUUACCCAUCUCAUCUACGGUCUUUUGUAAAAUAUUUUUGAUUUGUUUGUUAGAUGUUUCGGCUUGACCGCUAAUCUGAGGAUGGUAUGGUGUUGCGACGUUAUGUCGAACUCCAUGAUCGGCUAGGUACUUCCGAAAGAUUUUGUCGAUGAAGUGGGAACCUCCAUCGCUUAUAACUAUCCGGGGUAUACCAAAGCGAGGAAAGAUUACUUCAUGGAACAUUCUCUUGGCAUGUUUUGAAUCAGCUGAUCGACAAGGUAAGGCUUCUACCCAUUUGGACACGUAAUCCACAGCUACUAAGAUAUACUCGCAAUUCCCGGACAUAGGGAAUGGCCCCAUGAAAUCAAUGCCCCAUACAUCGAAUAGUUCUACUUGAAGAUUAUUUGUGAGAGGCAUUUCAUUUCGUGAGUUAAUAUUCCCAUGUUUUUGACACCGGUGGCAUCUCCUGACAAAGUCCUUUGUAUCUUCAUACAUCGUUGGCCAGAAAAAACCACUUUGCCAAAUUUUAGCAUGUGUCCGGAAUGCUCCAUAGUGUCCUCCAUAUGGCGAGGCAUGGCAUCUUUCCAUAAUUUGAGUAGCCUCAGCCAUAGGAACACACCUUCUCAAGAGUCCAUCAGCGCAGACUCGGAAAAGAUAUGGCUCAUCCCAAAGGUGGAAACGACUAUCGUGAAGCAACUUCCUUUUGUUUGCACCAGGUGGCACAUAGCCUUUUACUAUAAAGUUUACGAUGUCUGCGUACCAUGGAUCUGCAUGUGUUAUCUUAAGUAGGGUGUCAUCCCUUAGGUAGUCAUUUAUGGGAAGUUCAUCAUGUGUUUCCUUAUAUUGAAGCCUAGACAAGUGGUCGGCUACGGAAUUCUCAACUCCCUUCCUAUCUCGGAUUUCUAUGUCAAAGUCUUGGAGUAGAAGAAUCCAUCGAAUGAGACGAGGCUUAGCAUCUUUCUUAGUGAGGAGGUACUUGAGAGCAGCAUGGUCUGAAUAGAUGAUUAUCUUUGCCCCCACUAAGUAAGAUCUAAACUUGUCUAUAGCAUAGACAACAGCCAAAAGCUCUUUUUCAGUUGUAGUGUAAUUGAGCUGUGGUCCAGACAAGGUUUUGCUAGCGUAGGAUAUGGCAUAAUGCUUUUUAUCCUUGGUUUGUCCUAAAACGGCCCCGACCGCAAAAUCGCUGGCAUCACACAUGAUCUCAAAAGGAAGAUUCCAAUCAGGUGGUUGGAUAAUCGGGGCUGAGAUGAGUGCUUUCUUAAGAGUUUGAAAAGAUUCAUGACACUCAUCACUAAAGAUGAAAGGUGCAUCCUUAGCUAGGAGAUUAGUUAGGGGUCUAGCAAUUUGAGAGAAGUUCUUGAUAAAGCAUCUAUAGAACCCUGCAUGUCCCAAAAAGCUACGGAUUCCUUUCACAUUCGUGGGAGGUGGAAGUUUUUCAAUAACUUCAAUCUUUGCUUUGUCCACCUCUAUACCACGUUCGGACACUUUAUGUCCUAGCACUAUUCCUUCCUGAACCAUAAAAUGGCAUUUCUCCCGGUUCAGGAUUAAGUGCUUUUCUUCACAUCGCUCCAAGACUCUAUCUAAAUUCUCCAAACAAUGAUCGAAGGUUUUGCCAUAGACGGUAAAAUCAUCCAUGAAAACCUCCAUGAUCUUCUCAAUCAUGUCCGAGAAAAUAGACAUCAUGCACCGUUGGAAAGAAGCUGGAGCAUUGCACAAUCCGAACGACAUUCGUCGGUAUGCAUAAGUUCCAUAUGGGCAUGUAAAGGUAGUCUUUUCUUGGUCAUCUGGGUGGAUUGGGAUUUGGUGAUAUCCAGAAUAACCAUCAAGGAAACAAAAGAAAGAGUGGUUUGCAAGCCGUUCCAACAUUUCAUCAAUGAAGGGUAACGGAAAGUGAUCUUGCUUUGUAGCCUUGUUGAGUUUUCGAUAGUCAAUACACAUACGCCACCCAGUGACAAUUCGUUGAGGGAUGAGUUCAUUUUUCUCAUUCAUAACAACCGUCAUUCCUCCUUUCUUUGGCACUACUUGGACAGGGCUAACCCACUCACUAUGUGGCACAGGAUAAAUAAUCCCAGCACGAUAGAGUCUGAGGACCUCUUUCUUAACAACCUCUCGCAUAGCAUUGUUAAGUCUCCGUUGUGGUUCCCUUGAAGGUGUAGAAUUGGGAUCAAUAGGGAUACGAUGAGUGCAGAGAAUGGGACUAAUGCCCGUGAGAUCCUCGAGAGAGUAGCCAAAUGCUGAUCUAUGUCUUUCAAGAACAGUGACAAGUUGUUGUGUUUCAUAAUCGGAAAGCUUGUCACUGAUAAUUACUGGAGUUUUUGAGUUGUUGUGCAAAAAGACAUAUCUAAGGCCAGAAGGAAGAGGUUUUAAUUCUAUCGAAGGAGGUGAAGGUAGUUCAUUUUUGUCUAGCUCAACAGGUUCUACCAACUCUUCUUCUUCUUGAACAAAGUGUUCAUCAUUAAAGAAUGGUUGGGCCAUCUCCCCUUGAGUCAACAUUAAGAUCUCCUCAAUAGGAUCUGGUACAAGUUUGGGUUCCACUAUCGUGUUAAUUGAUCUAGCAAGAGGAACAACAAUAGUGGAAUUCCCAACCUUGAAGUCUAAAUGACCUCGUUGUGGUUGUUCGUGUAGAAGUUUCAUGAUUGGUCUGCCAAUCAAGAGAAGAAUCUCGGGUACGUCAAAAAUGUGAAAAUCUAGGCAUAUUCCAGAGUCCUUGAUUCUAACAGGAACUGCCCUUAAUACCCCAUGGCUUUCUAGAAUUAAUCUAGAUGGACUUUGUAAAAGUUUUUGGGAUGGGGUUAUGGACUCGUUGGGAUAAAGAGUGUCAGCUAACUCCUUAGAAAUAACAUUUAUCCCAACGUAUGGAUUGUAGUGGACCUUCCUAGGGGACCCUCUAAUUUGGCACAGAAGAAUGGUUGAAGGAGUGAUGAUUCGAGCUACCUCAGGAGACAGCUCAGCUUCUGUUAGCCAUUCAUAACUCAGAAUAGCCGAAAGGCUUUUGAUGUGUUCUAUGUCAACAGAUUCUACUCUUAGAACAGAUUGAGUGGUCCUUACUAGAGGUCGUGUUUGGAUAGGAAAAUUUGAGGUGUUUCCAUAAUCUUCAAAAAGAUCUUCCUCGAAUUCAAAUGGAUGCUCUAAAGGUGGUGGUUCAUCAUCCCUUAGUUGGUUUUGCAUUCCUUUAUCAGGAGGUUUCUCUACAACCAAAUUAAUGGAUGGGUCAGGUGGAAUUUCUAACUCGGUUGCAAGUUCCUCAUCUUUUGGUUUAGGAUUAGGCUUGACUUCUUUUUCUUCUUCAGGAAACUCAUCAUAAAUGCCUGUGUAAGGGGUAUUUUCAAGAAUUCUUUCUAGGAUAGCUCUCCCCUCAUCUGUGAGUUUGUGUGUGAAUGAGCCUCCUGAAGCAAUGUCGAGGUGAAGAGCAGCUUCCUUGUUUAGACCACGAUAGAAGUGGUAGUAUAGUACAUAGUCAGGCAGGGAAAGGUUUGGACCGGAAUUGGUAAGGCUUGUGAACCUAGCCCAAGCUGCUCCUAAAGUUUCCUUCUCUCUUUGUUUGAAUGUAAGAAUUUCAAUUCUAAGGUAAGCAAUUCGAAAAAGUGGGAAGAAAGCGAGACAAAAGUUGUCUCGAAGUUCAUCCCAACUUCCAUUAACGCCUCCUACAGAAUGAGCAUACCAUUUUUUUGCUCUUCCCAAAAGGGAGAACGGAAAUAACUUCCAUUUAAGGGUUUCUUGUGUCAUGCCGGAAAUAGAUCGGCAAGAACACAACUGCUCGAAUUCUCUAAGGUGGGUGUAUGGAUCUUCAUCUACUUGCCCAGAGAAGGAUUGCUCCUGAAUCAUGGCUAUUAGAUCAGGGCCGAGGUCGUAGCCAUCUGUAAGAAUUGGAUGUGAUGAUGGUGGUGGCUCUAAUAACUCGCCCUUUGGAGCAAAGAAUUUAUAGAUAGGAGUGAAAUCCAUGUGGUGUGGUGAAAAUGGUAAGGUGAGUGUGGUAAAAAGGAAAGGAAAAAGGAUACACGGACGACUUGGUUUGAAACUAGCACAGCUACCGUUCCCCGGCAACGGCGCCAGAAAGCUUGUUGGGUAUUUUAAACGCAAACAGAAAAAUCCGCAAGCGCACGGAUACCGAUGUAGCUUUCACCCGGGAGUAUUCCAGAGUAUCGAUUUUCCACAGGGAACGUGAGUGUACUAAUUAAGAUUCAAGAUCGCCCAAGGAUAACUAUAUAAUUAUUUUUGGUGGGAAGAGAGGAAGUUUCCUGAGAGUUCUCUAGUUGAUCCAAGAAUCAAGAAUUACUUCAAGAUUAUCUAUAUCGGGACAUCAGAGCACUAACCACAGAAAGAGAUGAGAAGGGGGCUAGGAAGGUCUGACUACGGUCCUACAAACACCGAUCCGAACGAGGUGGAAUACGUCGACCGUUAGGGCUGUCACUACCCUAAGGCUACCACAACAAUCCGCAGGAUUGGGUGCAAUUCCAGGUAAUUGCAAGACUAAACACCACGUCUAAUCUAUUAAUUACUACUCUAAUGUUGCAAAGAUUAGAGCACUUGAUGCAAGCGGGAAUCCAAUAAAUAACUUGAAUGUAAAUAAAAGUAGUUAAGGAACUCAGGAUUAUGAAUUGAAGAACCUGGAGAACGAUGAAGAACAAACCAGUUGCUGCAAAAGUACAAUGUUGAGGAAGAUCCGACAGAUCCGGCUCCUCCUCCGCUCUCCUCUUCUCUCUCCCUAUUUUCUAGAUUACAACUAGAACUAACUAGAACUAGAACUAGAGGAACUAGAACUAGAACUAGAUGAACUAGAACUAGAUCUAGAUGAACUAGACGUAGAACUAGAAGAACUAGAGGGAUCCUCUCUACUUGGAUGAAGAAUUGAAACCCUAACUUUGAUUCUGUAGAAGAGGUAUGAUCUCCAGGGGCCAGGGGGUCUGGUUUUAUAGUCCCUUCAAGUGAAUCUGGGCCGUCGGAUCAAUCCGACAUUGAUCGUGUGGUUUUCCUUGAAGUAUUAGGUCGGUGGAGCAUGAUCCCCGAACUUCACCCUGAUUGGUCCAGGGGGAGGGCGGGCGCCCAGUAAGGGAGGGCGGGCGCCCAGUGCCCGGUUCCGUUACGUCUCCCGUUCGCUCCCGUGGCUUCUGGAGUCUUCUAGAUGCUAGAAAAUUGUGCGGCACGUUAAUAUCUCUAUGUAAACCCGACGUGUGGGCCUUUCUUCCAUAUUUUCUGAUAACCCCCUGCAGAAAUAGACAAACACCCAAAACUCGUGGAAUUCUGUCAGAUAAAACCCUAAGUCUAGGUGUUGGUUGCAUUUGGAUCCUUUUCCAUGAUUAGUUGAUGGUUAAAUGUGAGCAUUA